CCUACGGGAGGCAGCAGUAGGGAAUAUUGCUCAAUGGGGGAAACCCUGAAGCAGCAACGCCGCGUGGAGGAUGAAGGUUUUCGGAUUGUAAACUCCUUUUGUUAGAGAAGAUAAUGACGGUAUCUAACGAAUAAGCACCGGCUAACUCCGUGCCAGCAGCCGCGGUAAUACGGAGGGUGCAAGCGUUACUCGGAAUCACUGGGCGUAAAGAGCGCGUAGGCGGGAUAGCAAGUCAGAUGUGAAAUCCUAUGGCUUAACCAUAGAACUGCAUUUGAAACUGUUAUUCUAGAGUAUGGGAGAGGUAGGUGGAAUUCUUGGUGUAGGGGUAAAAUGCGUAGAGAGCAAGAGGAAUACUCAUUGCGAAGGCGACCUGCUAGAACAUAACUGACGCUGAUGCGCGAAAGCGUGGGGAGCAAACAGGAUUAGAUACCCCAGUAGUC
Molecule: ribosomal RNA, 440 nt
Filed under: uncultured bacterium
Lineage: Bacteria
Description: partial 16S ribosomal RNA
Rfam family: Bacterial small subunit ribosomal RNA
Source: RNAcentral